GCAAGUACAUACAGUUAUAGU
RNAcentral lists this microRNA (21 nucleotides) under Heliconius melpomene (postman butterfly). RNAcentral's name for it is "hme-miR-6303-5p". The record is from miRBase by way of RNAcentral. Lineage: Eukaryota; Metazoa; Arthropoda; Insecta; Lepidoptera; Nymphalidae.